Saccostrea cuccullata (small rock oyster) is the source of this 824-nucleotide long non-coding RNA. RefSeq lists it as uncharacterized. The transcript has 4 exons. NCBI's taxonomy places the organism in Eukaryota, Metazoa, Mollusca, Bivalvia, Ostreida, Ostreidae. The record is from RefSeq and is a predicted model, not a curated record.
GCAUUCGGCUUCAGCCAAACGCUUGCACUCGAUGACACGGAGUGUUUGUUUACAUCUACAAACGUGGCGACAUCAGCUGGGAUAUGCAGUGGAUUUUAAUGCAAUAACCGGAGAAUCAUUAAAGAAAAUAGGGAUAAGAUAAGAGACAAGUCAUUGUUUAUACCUAUUACGAGAAUAUGAGGACAUUAUUUCGAAAGAUCAUGGAAACAGAGACGAUCAGAAUCAGCUCCUUAGAUCCAUCACUGCAGUAUCGUCGAUACAUUUAGCCCAGCUGUCAAGAGUUCCAGGGUUGAGGAUAAACAAAUGAAAAUUCCUUCCAGUUCUCCACAGGCUAUUCCCAAAGAAUUGGACCUAUGGAUUCAUUCAGGCAGCAGGUUAAUCCAUCAUUUAAGAAUUGAUUCAUCCACAAGAACAUGAAGUGAUGGAAAUAAUUUGCACCUGCUUAGUAUUCCUUAUACAGUCUACCUAUGAAUUUGAAAAGCUGUUUAUAAAAUAAAUGUUCUUGAUCAAUGAAUAAUGCUUUGACUUUUUCAUAUACAUGUACUUACUGUAUAGGUAUUGAAAAGGCUAUUAAGAUUUGGAAAUCUUAACUUGCAUAUAUUUUGUGUGGUGGGUGUCAAUCUCCAUCAAGAUAUUAUUUCCAGCAUGUACAUUGUGUUAAUUUUUCAAUAAUAGAAACUGUAAAGGAGAUUAUUGAUUCAAAACAGGUUUACAAAGGGGACCACCAUUUUAUUCUGAAAGGAGGGUUGGUUGGCAAGUUUUCCCAAGUCAUUUUUUUUAAAAUUCCAUGUCAAUGAAGGGUAGACUCAUAUUGAUUUCCAAUU